Molecule: ribosomal RNA, 394 nt
Filed under: uncultured bacterium
Lineage: Bacteria
Description: bacterial SSU rRNA
Rfam family: Bacterial small subunit ribosomal RNA
Source: RNAcentral
AUUGAACGCUGGCGGCAUGCCUUACACAUGCAAGUCGAACGGCAGCGGACCUUCGGGUGCCGGCGAGUGGCGAACGGGUGAGUAAUAUAUCGGAACGUACCUUUCAGUGGGGGAUAACGUAGCGAAAGUUACGCUAAUACCGCAUAUUCUGUGAGCAGGAAAGCAGGGGAUCGCAAGACCUUGCGCUGAUUGAGCGGCCGAUAUCAGAUUAGCUAGUUGGUGAGGUAAGGCUCACCAAGGCGACGAUCUGUAGCGGGUCUGAGAGGAUGAUCCGCCACACUGGAACUGAGACACGGUCCAGACUCCUACGGGAGGCAGCAGCGGGGAAUUUUGGACAAUGGGCGCAAGCCUGAUCCAGCCAUGCCGCGUGAGUGAAGAAGGCCUCGGUUGUAAG